CCUACGGGUGGCAGCAGUGAGGAAUAUUGGUCAAUGGACGAGAGUCUGAACCAGCCAAGUAGCGUGAAGGAUGACUGCCCUAUGGGUUGUACACUUCUUUUAUAAAGGAAUAAAACGAGGCACGUGUGCCUUUUUGCAUGUACUUUAUGAAUAAGGAUCGGCUAACUCCGUGCCAGCAGCCGCGGUAAUACGGAGGAUCCGAUCGUUAUCCGGAUUUUUUGGGUUUAAAGGGAGCGUAGAUGGGGUGUUAAGUCAGUGGGGAAAGUUUGCGGCUCAACCGUAAAAGUGCAAUUGAUAAUGGCAGUGUUGAGUAGAGUUGAGGUAGGCGGAAUUGGUGGUGUAGCGGUGAAAUGCUGAGAUAUCACGAAGAACCCCGAUUGCGAAGGCAGCUUACUAAACUGUUACUGACAUUGAUGCUCGAAAGUGUGGGUAUCAAACAGGAUUAGAUACCCCUGUAGUC
This 460-nucleotide ribosomal RNA is filed under the name uncultured bacterium. Its description in RNAcentral is "partial 16S ribosomal RNA". It matches the Rfam family "Bacterial small subunit ribosomal RNA", at positions 338 to 795 of the family's 1533-position model. The record is from RNAcentral.